This 109-nucleotide ribosomal RNA is filed under the name Pteropus alecto (black flying fox). Lineage: Eukaryota; Metazoa; Chordata; Mammalia; Chiroptera; Pteropodidae. The record is from RNAcentral.
AAAAACGGCCAUGCCACCCUGAAUGCGCCCGAUCUUGUCUGAUCUCGGAAGCUAAGCCUGGUUAGUACUUGGAUGGGAGACCACCUUGGAAUAUCGGGUGCUGUAGGUG